UUUCCUUUCAGAAGCACUGCUGACAGUUUGGUGGUUGCCAUUGGGACAGUGAGCCUUUUGUUCUUUCUGAGGUUGGGCUGGUUUCUCCUCUUGGCCCUGCCCUACAGACCGUAAAGGAAAUCAGCAAGAAGUCCCCAGCAAACAUCCACAGAUGGCCCUGGACAUCAGCCACAUUCUGAGAAACAUGUCACGUUCUGGGAGGGCUAAGGCAUCAAGUAAGGCCUAUGGGGCUGGAGAAUCCGAGGGCAGGUGGGGCAACCCAGAGCCAUGGGGGCUACCCAUGGGAAUUGGGAGGUCCCAAGGCAGAUGCAGGGGUUCCACAGGAGAAGUCCCAGAGCCACCAAGUGCUCUCCUGUCCCAGGGAGCAGUCAACACCAUGGACUGAACACUUACUGGGCUUCAAGCUCUGGGCCAGGCUGGGGCAUGUGGGGCCAUGAGGGAGCUCAGAGUGGGAGACAGAGAGACAAGUGUGCUCAGAGGGCACCCAUUUCUGGGUGUAAUGUGGUCCUGAGAUUUUGGCUGAGAAGGGUUUCCAGGGUUUCAUAUGUGUUAUGGAGCUGCUUCCUCUCCCCAGCCUCACCUUGCAGGAAUCCCAGUGAAUAUAUUGCCACCCUAUUUGAGCUCAGUGCCCUCAUAGUGUAAUGGCACCAGCAGAUCUGCCUGUGCAUGGACUUCCUGUACUACCCAUUCCUGAGGGGUGAUGCUUCUGCAGGGCCUAUGACCUGGUGCACAACUUUAGACACCAUCAUCCUGGAGCAGCACUGCACCCUCACUAGCCAGGGUGUUCAUGACUUCCUCAAGGCCAAGGCCACGUUCAAGACUUGGGACUUCAGUGAUGCACUUGUGCUGGGCAAGGUGGCUUCUCCGGUAUCUUAAUUUGCCAUGGAAGGUGCUGGAUAAAGGAGGGACAGUCAGAUAUGUCUUAGAGAUGACUGUAGAAGGCUGCCUGGAAGGAGUGAACAAGAGCCAGGAGACCCAGGAGGGAGCUUGUGGGGCAGGUCUGGAGAUGGCAAGGGAGGGAUCCUGCUUGGAUGAAAAGUCUUCAGGGACUGUCUCAGGUUACACUCAGGUGCCCUCAGAGCUAAUGUGUUCAGAGGUCUUGUCUCCAGGAUGAAAAUGGGAAGGAGUUGUCAGAAGAGGACAUAUAAAUGGAGGCUGGCAUCUUCAUGAGUACCAGCGGUGGUCCCGGUGUGGGUCUCUCCAUCCAGGGACAUGGUGGAUGGACACUACAUCACUCCAUUCUGCCCUUCCUUUCCCUCCUCCCAUUCUCCCAAGGGCCUCAGUGCAUGGGCGGUGUCCAACCUCUGGUGCUGAAUCAGCCAAGAGAUCCAAGCCUGCUUGGCUGCCUCUUAGGAUAUGAAAGCACAGCCACUGGGCUCUACUGAAUCCUAUGCAACCUCAGAAGACACCCAGGAGUGAUGCCAUCACGUGGUGCAAGAGUUCUGAGGGACCGCAAUCCUGAAGACAUUGAAUGGCUGUGUUCCUGCUCAUUGCUGGAGGCACUGUCAGGGGCCCUGUCCUCAACCCCGGGUCUGACACUUGCAGAUCAGGCAGGACAUUCUGGAGGAAUCAUGCCCUUGGAAGGAUCCCUGAGGAGUGACUGUUGUUAGAUUAAAAAACAGUGGCAAAGAGCAAUACAGAGAGUUGCCAAAAUUCACACCGCUGGUCCAGGUUUGAAGCAAGCAAUCUGUACCUGCAGUCCUUGUCUGUAACCAUGGCACCCUGGCUUCUCACACAUCUCAUCGUGGAGUUCCACCAUGUGUCAGGCAUGGCACUGAGCACCUUCUUUUAAGAAUAUAAUUUGUAAUUAUGUAGAUUCUUAAUUCUACUUCAAAAUGCCACACAGCCUUCAUGUGAUAAAAUGAAACAAUUGCUCAACUGAUCUCCUGGGAUCUCUACUAAGAUGUUGGCAGCCCGGUCAGCUGGUCUGGCCCUGGACGUGCCUUCAGGGUCUGGUUAUGCUUCAUGACCUGCAUUGUGGUCAGUGGUAAGCAGCACCUGCUUCUAGCUUUACUGUUGGGUCAGAUUUUAUCCCCACUCCAGCUCUGCAGUGUGGCUGCUUCUUGAUUCAUCCAUGGACCCUGCACGAAAUUGCCCCAUGUUACUGUUUGUGCAUCACUGAGGAAGGAAGCAUGAAGGACGCACAGGUCAGGCCAUUCCAUUGCCCUCCUGGUGCUGGGUUUGCCCUCCCAAUCCUGGGGUUGCUUCAGGGGCUGGUCGUUCUCCAUAGCCCCCUCCACAUUUCUCAGGUUUCUGCUCAAAAGUCACCUUUCGGAGGGGUCUCCACCUGUCACUGUGUUUUUAAGAGCUCCUUCGGUUUCUUUCUAGCUCAUCUCACUCUGGUAAUGUCUUUGAUUACCACCACCAUCUGACCUGGUCUUAUGAUCUGUUAGCUUCCUUCAUCAGAUGUGAGCACCAGGAUGGCAGGGGCCUCAUCUGUCCUGUUCCUCCUGUGGCCUGGGUCCUAGCACCAUGUCUGGUACAGUGUAGAUGCUCAAGGGAAGUUUACUUUGUAGAACUGUUUAUCUGGGAGAUAUUACUGUUGGUCUAACCUGUACCAUAUUGUAAACCUCCAGCCAUUUUGCAGACUUUGAUCACAGUGAAACGUUCCAUGGGAACUUGGGCCAUGAGAAACAUCCUUCCUAACCACGUGACUGCAGAAACAUCCUUAUCACAUCCUCCUGGGCAAAGGCCCAACAGCCUGACUGCAGGGACAUCCUUGCCAUAUCCUGCUGGGCAGCAAGCUCUACCACCCAGAUCCCUCCCUCCCAGUCCCAUGAUUACCCCAGCCUGUGAGUGGCAGUUGGUUCUGGCACUAAGCUGGUUUCCUCCUCCCCAGGGUUUUGCUGGCAAUAAAGAUGUUGCUGUUGAAGCCA
Long non-coding RNA from Homo sapiens (human), 2876 nucleotides. Ensembl annotates it as cytochrome P450 family 4 subfamily F member 35, pseudogene. Its record names the gene CYP4F35P. Lineage: Eukaryota; Metazoa; Chordata; Mammalia; Primates; Hominidae. The record is from Ensembl.